Molecule: ribosomal RNA, 465 nt
Filed under: uncultured bacterium
Lineage: Bacteria
Description: partial 16S ribosomal RNA
Rfam family: Bacterial small subunit ribosomal RNA
Source: RNAcentral
GACGAACGCUGGCGGCGUGCUUAACACAUGCAAGUCGAACGGAAAGGCCCUGCUUGCAGGGUACUCGAGUGGCGAACGGGUGAGUAACACGUGGGUGAUCUGCCCUGCACUUCGGGAUAAGCCUGGGAAACUGGGUCUAAUACCGGAUAGGAGCCAUUUUUAGUGUGAUGGUUGGAAAGUUUUUUCGGUGUAGGAUGAGCUCGCGGCCUAUCAGCUUGUUGGUGGGGUAAUGGCCUACCAAGGCGGCGACGGGUAGCCGGCCUGAGAGGGUGGACGGCCACAUUGGGACCGAGAUACGGCCCAGACUCCUACGGGAGGCAGCAGUGGGGAAGAUUGAACGAUGGGCGCAAGCCUGAUGCAGCGACGCCGCGUGGGGGAUGACGGCCUUCGGGUUGUAAACUCCAUUCGCUAGGGACGAAGCUUUUUGUGACGGUACCUAGAUAAGAAGCCCCGGCUAACUACGUG